Molecule: unclassified non-coding RNA, 376 nt
Filed under: uncultured Chytridiomycota
Lineage: Eukaryota; Fungi; Chytridiomycota
Description: sequence contains ITS1
Rfam family: 5.8S ribosomal RNA (bases 1-105)
Source: RNAcentral
GAAAUGCGAUAAGUAAUGUGAAUUGCAGAAUUCCGUGAAUCAUCAAAUCUUUGAACGCACAUUGCGCUUCCUGGUAUUCCGGGAAGCAUAUCUGUUUGAGAAUCAGUAUUAAUAUCAAAAUUGGAAUUUUCUUUUAAAUUUCAACCUUUGGAAUUGAGGAUUUUACCUUUUUAAAAGAGGGUAAUCCUUUAAACAAAUUAAAAUGUUUUUUACCAAAUGGUUAACAAACGCUAAAGCAUGACCAAUACGGAGAUGCCUAUGGAUUUGUUAACGGAAUUUUGUGUUUAAUGAUUUUUCUUUAAAAUACGAAAGAAAUUACCAGUAAUUUUUUUUAAGACUCGAUCUCAAAUCAGAUAAGACUACCCGCUGAACUUAA